This 333-nucleotide ribosomal RNA is filed under the name Eophreatoicus sp. Zi. Its description in RNAcentral is "partial 16S ribosomal RNA". The record is from RNAcentral. Lineage: Eukaryota; Metazoa; Arthropoda; Malacostraca; Isopoda; Amphisopidae.
AAGAGCCGCAGUAUACUGACUGUGCAAAGGUAGCAAAAUAAUUUGUUUCUUAAUUAGAAACCGGAAUGAAUGGUCUGACGAGGAAAUAUCUAUCUACAAAUUAAGUAGAAAUUAACAUCUAAGUCAAAAGGCUUAAAUAUUUCAACAAGACGACAAGACCCUAUAAAACUUUACCUUUUAGGUAACAUACUUAGAAAAAAACCACAAAAGGGUUUAACUGGGGCGGUAUUUAUACAAUUUAUAACUAUACUAAUAUAACCAUAUAUUUAUGAAACAAUAAAUCUUAUAUAAAACAUAAAAACAAGUUACUUUAGGGAUAACAGCACAAUACUU